AUNGACCUCGGAUCAGGUAGGGAUACCCGCUGAACU
RNAcentral lists this ribosomal RNA (36 nucleotides) under Hypogymnia imshaugii. RNAcentral describes it as "partial 28S ribosomal RNA". Lineage: Eukaryota; Fungi; Ascomycota; Lecanoromycetes; Lecanorales; Parmeliaceae. The record is from RNAcentral.